RNAcentral lists this ribosomal RNA (427 nucleotides) under uncultured bacterium. Its description in RNAcentral is "partial 16S ribosomal RNA". It matches the Rfam family "Bacterial small subunit ribosomal RNA", at positions 354 to 796 of the family's 1533-position model. The record is from RNAcentral.
GUGAGGAAUAUUGCACAAUGGGCGAAAGCCUGAUGCAGCAACGCCGCGUGAGUGAUGAAGGCCUUUGGGUCGUAAAACUCUGUCCUUGGGGAAGAAAAAAAUGACGGUACCCUUGGAGGAAGCCCCGGCUAACUACGUGCCAGCAGCCGCGGUAAUACGUAGGGGGCAAGCGUUAUCCGGAAUUAUUGGGCGUAAAGAGUGCGUAGGUGGUUUGGUAAGCGUAGGGUGAAAGGCAGUAGCUCAACUAUUGUUAGCCCUGCGAACUGUGAGGCUUGAGUGCAGUAGAGGAAAGUGGAAUUCCUAGUGUAGCGGUGAAAUGCGUAGAUAUUAGGAGGAACACCAGUGGCGAAGGCGACUUUCUGGACUGUAACUGACACUGAGGCACGAAAGCGUGGGUAGCAAACAGGAUUAGAUACCCUGGUAGUCC